RNAcentral lists this ribosomal RNA (489 nucleotides) under uncultured bacterium. Its description in RNAcentral is "partial 16S ribosomal RNA". It matches the Rfam family "Bacterial small subunit ribosomal RNA", at positions 30 to 506 of the family's 1533-position model. The record is from RNAcentral.
AUUGAACGCUGGCGGCAGGCCUAACACAUGCAAGUCGAACGGUAACAGGAAGCAGCUUGCUGCUUUGCUGACGAGUGGCGGACGGGUGAGUAAUGUCUGGGAAACUGCCUGAUGGAGGGGGAUAACUACUGGAAACGGUAGCUAAUACCGCAUAACGUCGCAAGACCAAAGAGGGGGACCUUCGGGCCUCUUGCCAUCGGAUGUGCCCAGAUGGGAUUAGCUAGUAGGUGGGGAAACGGCUCACCUAGGCGACGAUCCCUAGCUGGUCUGAGAGGAUGACCAGCCACACUGGAACUGAGACACGGUCCAGACUCCUACGGGAGGCAGCAGUGGGGAAUAUUGCACAAUGGGCGCAAGCCUGAUGCAGCCAUGCCGCGUGUAUGAAGAAGGCCUUCGGGUUGUAAAGUACUUUCAGCGGGGAGGAAGGGAGUAAAGUUAAUACCUUUGCUCAUUGACGUUACCCGCAGAAGAAGCACCGGCUAACUCCGU